CGUCACACUAUCAUUAACUGAAUCCAUAGGUUAAUGAGGCGAACCGGGGGAACUGAAACAUCUAAGUACCCCGAGGAAAAGAAAUCAACCGAGAUUCCCCCAGUAGCGGCGAGCGAACGGGGAGGAGCCCAGAGYCUGAAUCAGCAUGUGUGUUAGUGGAAGCGUCUGGAAAGGCGCGCGAUACAGGGUGACAGCCCCGUACACAAAAGCGCAYAUGCUGUGAGCUCGAUGAGUAGGGCGGGACACGUGGUAUCCUGUCUGAAUAUGGGGGGACCAUCCUCCAAGGCUAAAUACUCCUGACUGACCGAUAGUGAACCAGUACCGUGAGGGAAAGGCGAAAAGAACCCCGGCGAGGGGAGUGAAAAAGAACCUGAAACCGUGUACGUACAAGCAGUGGGAGCACCCUUUGGGGUGUGACUGCGUACCUUUUGUAUAAUGGGUCAGCGACUUAUAUUCUGUAGCAAGGUUAACCGWAUAGGGGAGCCGSAGGGAAACCGAGUCUUAACCGGGCGUUAAGUUGCAGGGUAUAGACCCGAAACCCGGUGAUCUAGCCAUGGGCAGGUUGAAGGUUGGGUAACACUAACUGGAGGACCGAACCGACUAAUGUUGAAAAAUUAGCGGAUGACCUGUGGCUGGGGGUGAAAGGCCAAUCAAACCGGGAG
Molecule: ribosomal RNA, 662 nt
Filed under: Salmonella enterica
Lineage: Bacteria; Pseudomonadati; Pseudomonadota; Gammaproteobacteria; Enterobacterales; Enterobacteriaceae
Description: partial 23S ribosomal RNA
Source: RNAcentral